Molecule: ribosomal RNA, 468 nt
Filed under: uncultured bacterium
Lineage: Bacteria
Description: partial 16S ribosomal RNA
Rfam family: Bacterial small subunit ribosomal RNA
Source: RNAcentral
GACGAACGCUGGCGGCGUGCUUAACACAUGCAAGUCGAACGGAAAGGCCCUGCUUUUGCGGGGUGCUCGAGUGGGGAAGGGGUGAGAAACACGGGAGUAACCUGCCCUUGACUUCGGGAUAACUUCAGGAGACUGGGGCUAAUACCGGCUAGGAGCUCCUGAAGCAUGGUGGGGGUUGGAAAGUUUAGGCGGUUGGGGAUGGACGCGCGGCUUACCAGCUUGUUGGUGGGGGAGUGGCUUAGGCAGGGUUUGGCUGAUAGCCGGCCUGAGAGGGUGACCGGCCACAUUGGGACUGAGGUACGGCCCAGUCUCCUACGGUAGGCAGCAGUGGAGAAUAUUGCACAAUGGUCGGAAGCCUGAUGCAGCAACGCCGCGUUCGUGAUGACGGCCUUCGUGGGGUAAACCGCUUUCGCCUGUGACGAAGCUGUAUUGACGGUAAUGGGUAAAGAAGCACCGGCUAACUACGUG